RNAcentral lists this ribosomal RNA (253 nucleotides) under uncultured bacterium. RNAcentral describes it as "partial 16S ribosomal RNA". It matches the Rfam family "Bacterial small subunit ribosomal RNA", at positions 524 to 776 of the family's 1533-position model. The record is from RNAcentral.
UACGUAGGGGGCAAGCGUUGUCCGGAAUCAUUGGGCGUAAAGAGCGUGUAGGCGGUUCGGUAAGUCCGCUGUAAAAGUCCAGGGCUCAACCCUGGAAAGCCGGUGGAAACUGUCGAACUAGAGUCCGGAAGAGGCGAGUGGAAUUCCUGGUGUAGCGGUGAAAUGCGUAGAUAUCAGUCGGAACACCGGUGGCGAAGGCGGGUCUCUGGGCCGAUACUGACGCUGAGGAGCGAAAGCGUGGGGAGCGAACAGG